This is a long non-coding RNA of Wasmannia auropunctata (little fire ant), 1970 nucleotides long. RefSeq lists it as uncharacterized. The record is from RefSeq and is a predicted model, not a curated record. Lineage: Eukaryota; Metazoa; Arthropoda; Insecta; Hymenoptera; Formicidae. The transcript is spliced from 2 exons.
GAUCGCCGUCGUGCGGUGAAUCGCGAUAAUUACAACGCUACCGUUAAUGAUAAAGCACACGGAUAGUUCGCACAGGAAUCGCGCGAUCAAAGGGACCAAUCUCGGGACUAUUAUAAAUUGAUAAGACCGGCGUUACAUCUCCAGUGGCGGCCAGACGACGUGAGACGUACAUACAAAAGCACGUUCGAUAAGCGUAAAACGCGUUAAUGGAAACUCCAGCCGAAACGUGUUCCGCGAAGUGCUUAGCAUACCGACUAAAUUGGAGGUGAAAUUUCAAGCCGAAGGCAAUGCUGCACACUCUCGUUCCUCGCCGUUAUCGUGGAAUCAUCGAUUCGAGAUAUCGAGCCUCGAAACAAAUUUCGCAUAUAUGAUUUCUCGAUUCCUUUCGGAUCGGACGCGCCACGCUCGAAUUGCGAUGGAGAAUGUUUUCGCGGAAUUGAAGAAUCAUUAAUGGUAGGCCCGCUAACGAGGACCUCGUUCGAAACGAUCGACUUCCCGCGCGAGCCGAGCGAGUCGCGUGUGUGCACCUGCGUUUCACGUCCGAUUAACGUGUACGAUCUGUAAACAGUGUGCGACUUUCUACUUUCCUCCGCCGGGCCGGGGCAGCAGGAUUGUCGAACGACCGGCAUACAUCUCGCGAUUUCGCGGUAUGACGUCGCCCAGCAGCGCGACGACGUUGCAGCGAUUCUCGCGAUGCAACGAUACCCGCGAUGACCGAAGAGGAAACCAAGGCGGGGCAAAAGUGACAGCGCUUAUCCAAUCGAUGCUUCUGCGCCAAUUAAUCUUUUCAAUCUCGACAGUAUUCAUGAAGACGUUCAACCCAUAGCGCGCAAUAAAAGCAAUCAAACGCUUUCCUUUACAAUGAGAGGAGCGCGACGCUCGAGGAAAUUCGCGUUAAAAAUCACACUUUGCCGACUACAGUAAAUGAUAAAACUAACCGUGAUUAAAUCUCUUCCAGGAUUUUUCUUCGCGCGAGACGCGAGAAACUCUCUUUACGCAUGAUAUAAUCACAUUUCUCAGAGAAGAAAGAAGAGAAUGACGCUUAAUGAAGGAAAAUUUAAAAACUCGAUGACUCUUCGACAGAAAAUGUCACACGUUUCAUCAUUAUAAAGAGAAAGGAUUAAAAGUGCUACUCCAUUGGGCGAUCCGGAAGGAAGCCCGGGAUGUGGAAGGAGAGAAAGAAUUGUGAGGGAAGUGAACGCGUGCGCGACCGGAAAUCCCAGCCGAUCUUAUCUAUAUACGAUUCUCGUUCAUUUGUUUCUUUGUUGAAGGCAAUGAUCGUUUAAAGCGAGGACCGUCUGAGCAUGUCCACUUGUUCUUCGCUAAUUGCCGAGGGUUUAACGACCCGAAAGCUACGGACAAACAUCGCGAUUUCAAGACGUGUAUCGAACAGUGCAUCGAAAUAUCGCUUUUUAUUUCCUCCUUUCUGUUCCGCGCGGCAAAUUCACGGCUUAAAAAUCGUGUGAUUUUCUUUGAUAUUUUUCAGGAUCAAUUGAGUACCGCGAUAAAUCGUCGCCGUGAGAACCGCCGGUAAUUAACUAGAAAAUACCGAAAAAGCCGUGAUAAAGCGAGAGCUGUAGAACACUAUUUAAUUACCUAUCUAUCCCGCUGAAGCUUCACUAGAUACGUUUAUUCCCUCUAAUUGUCGGCGUUAAAUAACUUUUUAAUUAACCUUUGACUUUAAUUAUAUCAGUAUGCGCUUUUGUAGGACACCUAAACUAACUUGACCUAUUCUUCUGAAAUACCGCCAAUUUGUCUCUCCUUCUCUCUUUCUUUCAAAAGAGAGUUGCGCUAUCAUUAGAGAGAUAUUCUGGCAAGUGCCAGAGUUUGCCGUACCCUCCCGAAUUACAGCCAAUUUAUUUCCCUGUCUCGAGAGCCACCACUUUACUAACGUUACACAGAUACGCCUGAACACCCCGUGUCUGUAUUUUUUGCCCCACCUUCCCGAAAUAUAAUACAACAGGAUUGUU